Molecule: ribosomal RNA, 393 nt
Filed under: uncultured bacterium
Lineage: Bacteria
Description: bacterial SSU rRNA
Rfam family: Bacterial small subunit ribosomal RNA
Source: RNAcentral
AUUGAACGCUGGCGGCAUGCCUUACACAUGCAAGUCGAACGGCAGCGGGCCUUCGGGUGCCGGCGAGUGGCGAACGGGUGAGUAAUGCAUCGGAACGUGCCAUUGAGUGGGGGAUAACGUAGCGAAAGUUACGCUAAUACCGCAUAUUCUGUGAGCAGGAAAGCAGGGGGACCGCAAGGCCUUGCGCUCUUUGAGCGGCCGAUGUCAGAUUAGCUAGUUGGUGAGGUAAAGGCUUACCAAGGCGACGAUCUGUAGCGGGUCUGAGAGGAUGAUCGCCACACUGGAACUGAGACACGGUCCAGACUCCUACGGGAGGCAGCAGUGGGGAAUUUUGGGACAAUGGGCGCAAGCCUGAUCCAGCCAUGCCGCGUGAGUGAAGAAGGCCUUCGGGUU